This 396-nucleotide RNase P RNA is filed under the name Acidobacteriota bacterium. RNAcentral's name for it is "RNase P RNA component class A". It matches the Rfam family "Bacterial RNase P class A". From Rfam's summary of the family: Ribonuclease P (RNase P) is a ubiquitous endoribonuclease, found in archaea, bacteria and eukarya as well as chloroplasts and mitochondria. Its best characterised activity is the generation of mature 5'-ends of tRNAs by cleaving the 5'-leader elements of precursor-tRNAs. The record is from RNAcentral. Lineage: Bacteria; Pseudomonadati; Acidobacteriota.
CCUGCUGGAUGGACGGUCGCUCGGCUGACGGGCUUAGCCUGUCUGGCCGGGAGGAAAGUCCGGUCUCCAUAGGGCAGCAUGCCGGCUAACGGCCGGGGGGAUUCGCUCAAAGUGAAUUCCACGGAUAGUGCCACAGAAAAUAUACCGCCGCCCGCUGGACCCAGUCCGGUGGGAUUGGUAAGGGUGAAAAGGUGCGGUAAGAGCGCACCGCGGCCGGAGUAAUCCGGCUGGCAGGGCAAACCCCAUGCGGAGCAAGACCAAAUAGGGGAGGAGGGGCGGCCCGUUCCGUUCGACUUCCGGGUAGGUUGCUAGAGCCGUCCAGUAAUGGGCGGCCCAGAGGAAUGACUGCCGCCCCGCAAGGGGACACAGAAACCGGCUUACAGUCCGGCAGGCCCA